Molecule: ribosomal RNA, 356 nt
Filed under: uncultured bacterium
Lineage: Bacteria
Description: bacterial SSU rRNA
Rfam family: Bacterial small subunit ribosomal RNA
Source: RNAcentral
GACGUGACUUCAGAGUUUGAUCCUGGCUCAGGAUGAACGCUGGCGGCGUGCUUAACACAUGCAAGUCGAACGAAGCACUUAUUAUUGAGACCUCGGGUGGAUUUAAUUUGUGACUGAGUGGCGGACGGGUGAGUAACGCGUGGGUAACCUGCCUUGUACAGGGGGAUAACAGUUAGAAAUGACUGCUAAUACCGCAUAAGCGCACAGUACCGCAUGGUACGGUGUGAAAAACUCCGGUGGUACAAGAUGGACCCGCGUCUGAUUAGCUAGUUGGUGGGGUAACGGCCUACCAAGGCGACGAUCAGUAGCCGACUUGAGAGAGUGAUCGGCCACAUUGGGACUGAGACACGGCCCAA